AACGUAGGACGCAAGCGUUAUCCGGAAUUACUGGGCGUAAAGCGCGCGUAGGCGGUUUGAUAAGUCACUGUUGAAAGCUCCCGGCUAAACUGGGAGAGGUGCGGUGAGACUGUCAGGCUAGAGUAUGGGAGAGGGAUGCAGAAUUCCGGGUGUAGUGGUGAAAUGCGUAGAGAUCCGGAGGAAUACCAGAGGCGAAGGCGGCAUCCUGGCCUGUUACUGACACUGAGACGCGAAAGCAUGGGGAGCGAACGGG
This 253-nucleotide ribosomal RNA is filed under the name uncultured bacterium. Its description in RNAcentral is "partial 16S ribosomal RNA". It matches the Rfam family "Bacterial small subunit ribosomal RNA", at positions 524 to 776 of the family's 1533-position model. The record is from RNAcentral.